GACGAACGCUGGCGGCGUGCUUAACACAUGCAAGUCGAACGGAAAGGCCCUGCUUUUGUGGGUUGCUCGAGUGGCGAACGGGUGAGUAACACGUGAGUAACCUGCCCUUGACUUUGGGAUAACUUCAGGAAACUGGGGCUAAUACCGGAUAGGAGCUCCUGCUACAUGGUGGGGGUUGGAAAGUUUCGGCGGUUGGGGAUGGACUCGCGGCUUAUCAGCUUGUUGGUGGGGUAGUGGCUUACCAAGGCUUUGACGGGUAGCCGGCCUGAGAGGGUGACCGGCCACAUUGGGACUGAGAUACGGCCCAGACUCCUACGGGAGGCAGCAGUGGGGAAUAUUGCACAAUGGGCGGAAGCCUGAUGCAGCAACGCCGCGUGCGGGAUGACGGCAUUCGGGUUGUAACCCGCUUUCGCCUGUGACGAAGCGUGAGUGACGGUAAUGGGUAAAGAAGCACCGGCUAACUACGUG
Molecule: ribosomal RNA, 468 nt
Filed under: uncultured bacterium
Lineage: Bacteria
Description: partial 16S ribosomal RNA
Rfam family: Bacterial small subunit ribosomal RNA
Source: RNAcentral